This is a long non-coding RNA of Mauremys reevesii (Reeves's turtle), 892 nucleotides long. RefSeq lists it as uncharacterized. Lineage: Eukaryota; Metazoa; Chordata; Testudines; Geoemydidae. The transcript is spliced from 5 exons. The record is from RefSeq and is a predicted model, not a curated record.
GUGAGAGAGAAGCUGCUGCAGCCCUAAUUGGCCAUUUUGUAUCUGGCUGCUGUUUGCUGCAUUGCUGUCUCUUCCAACUGUGGAGUACCGGAGCUGAUAGGAGAGCAAUCUGCAAUCGAUUUAGCAAGUCUUCACUAGGUCCGCUAAAUCGACAUUUGGUGGAUCAACCGCUGCAGCGUCGAUCCACAAUUUUAGCUUGAAAGGACUAUAAACUGAGAGACUUGCUAUAGUUUAAAAUUGGCAGCUGGUCGGGAGAUGAAUGCCAAGCAAAGUGAGUGUACAGGAGGUUCCUGCUGUUUCUGCAGGGAAGCAUCCCUGGGUGAGACAUCUGCUGUUCAAACUUCACAACACAUUGUAUCAGGAAGACAGAUAAUUCUCCGAUCUGAGAAAUUAACCUAACCUACCUGCAGUGAAGCAGAAGUGUGAACAUCUAUAGUGGGGGUGUUCUUCAGGCUUUGGUGCAGUACAAAGAUCCAUCCUCCAAUCCUGUGGAUUUGUUUGAAAUUUGAAACUUUAUUUUGUGGGGUAUCUGUCCAUUUAAGGAAAAAUCCUUUGGGGUUUAAUAAGGAUUAGAUCUAUAAAGUUUUAUGUACAUUUUUCUAUAAACUGAUAGAAUGUAAUAUCCACAUUAAAAAAAAUCCUACAGAAUUAUAUAGAAGGGAUAUGCUUUCCGUUACAUCUAUAGGGAAGUCUAAAAAUAUAAAUAAGUACUAACAUUUUCUAAUAAAUUCUAUAUGUCUUUUCUAUAAAGGUUUGUUAAACAGUUUGUUUUAGUUUUUAUUCUAAUAUUGUAAUGCCAGAAAGAAUCUCAAUUCCUGAAAAAAGUUGAGAACUAGAUUUUUAACCUUAGAAGAGGAUCACAUUUGAAAAGUUUGCAGAAAUGUUAUACUGA